GAGAAAAUGUAGUAGACUAUGAGUAUACGUGAAUCUCUGAAAGUAUACUAAGUAUACUACGUUUACUUGAGAG
Poecilia formosa (Amazon molly) is the source of this 73-nucleotide microRNA precursor. NCBI's taxonomy places the organism in Eukaryota, Metazoa, Chordata, Actinopteri, Cyprinodontiformes, Poeciliidae. The record is from Ensembl.